Molecule: transfer RNA, 72 nt
Filed under: Myxococcales bacterium
Lineage: Bacteria; Pseudomonadati; Myxococcota; Myxococcia; Myxococcales
Also listed under: 1 other name
Description: tRNA-Glu
Rfam family: tRNA
About the family: Transfer RNA (tRNA) molecules are approximately 80 nucleotides in length.
Source: RNAcentral
GGCCCCAUCGUCUAGCGGUUAGGACAUCGGCCUCUCACGCCGGUAACACGGGUUCAAUUCCCGUUGGGGUCA